Molecule: ribosomal RNA, 500 nt
Filed under: uncultured bacterium
Lineage: Bacteria
Description: partial 16S ribosomal RNA
Rfam family: Bacterial small subunit ribosomal RNA
Source: RNAcentral
AUUGAACGCUGGCGGCAUGCCUUACACAUGCAAGUCGAACGGCAGCACGGGAGCAAUCCUGGUGGCGAGUGGCGAACGGGUGAGUAAAGUAUCGGAACGUGCCCAGUCGUGGGGGAUAACGUAGCGAAAGUUAAGCUAAUACCGCAUACGAUCUAUGGAUGAAAGCGGGGGAUCGCAAGACCUCGCGCGAUUGGCGCGGCCGAUAUCAGAUUAGGUAGUUGGUGGGGUAAAGGCUCACCAAGCCGACGAUCUGUAGCUGGUCUGGGAGGACGACCAGCCACACUGGGACUGAGACACGGCCCAGACUCCUACGGGAGGCAGCAGUGGGGAAUUUUGGACAAUGGGCGAAAGCCUGAUCCAGCCAUGCCGCGUGCAGGAUGAAGGCCUUCGGGUUGUAAACUGCUUUUGUACGGAACGAAAAGGUUUGGCCUAAUAAGCUGAGCUCAUGACGGUACCGUAAGAAUAAGCACCGGCUAACUACGUGCCAGCAGCCGCGGUAA